Molecule: ribosomal RNA, 253 nt
Filed under: uncultured bacterium
Lineage: Bacteria
Description: partial 16S ribosomal RNA
Rfam family: Bacterial small subunit ribosomal RNA
Source: RNAcentral
GACGAACCGUGCGAACGUUGUUCGGAUUCACUGGGCUUAAAGGGCGCGUAGGCGGACGGUCAAGUCGGGGGUGAAAUCUUUCAGCUUAACUGGAAAAGUGCCUCCGAUACUGAUCGUCUCGAGGGAGGUAGGGGCAUGUGGAACUUCCGGUGGAGCGGUGAAAUGCGUAGAUAUCUGGAGGAACACCGGUGGCGAAGGCGGCAUCCUGGACCGACACUGACGCUGAGGAGCGAAAGCCAGGGGAGCAAACGGG